GAUGAACGCUGGCGGCGUGCCUAACACAUGCAAGUCGAACGGAGUCGUUUUGGAAAUCUCUUCGGAGAUGGAAUUCUCGACUUAGUGGCGGACGGGUGAGUAACGCGUGAGCAAUCUGCCUUUAAGAGGGGGAUAACAGUCGGAAACGGCUGCUAAUACCGCAUAAAGCAUUAAAUUCGCAUGUUUUUGAUGCCAAAGGAGCAAUCCGCUUUUAGAUGAGCUCGCGCCUGAUUAGCUAGUUGGCGGGGUAACGGCCCACCAAGGCGACGAUCAGUAGCCGGACUGAGAGGUUGAACGGCCACAUUGGGACUGAGACACGGCCCAGACUCCUACGGGAGGCAGCAGUGGGGAAUAUUGCGCAAUGGGGGAAACCCUGACGCAGCAACGCCGCGUGAUUGAAGAAGGCCUUCGGGUUGUAAAGAUCUUUAAUCAGGGACGAAACAAAUGACGGUACCUGAAGAAUAAGCUCCGGCUAACUACGUG
Molecule: ribosomal RNA, 483 nt
Filed under: uncultured bacterium
Lineage: Bacteria
Description: partial 16S ribosomal RNA
Rfam family: Bacterial small subunit ribosomal RNA
Source: RNAcentral